Long non-coding RNA from Scatophagus argus, 673 nucleotides. RefSeq lists it as uncharacterized. The record is from RefSeq and is a predicted model, not a curated record. The transcript is spliced from 3 exons. Lineage: Eukaryota; Metazoa; Chordata; Actinopteri; Scatophagidae.
GUGCUCAUCUCCUUUUUGGCCACUUGGGGGCAGUACAAGCUGCAAACAGAAAAGCGAUUGUUUUGAUUUUAUGACCUUCCAAAGUCAGUCAACAUGGCGGCUGUGGUGACGCUUAUGAGGCGGAUUGUGUACGUUUGAACUGUGCUUUAAGGCCUCAUCGUGUCUGCACAUCUGGAUGCUGGACUGAUCCAAGGUUUUGUCGUUCUCGUGUGCGACCAACAACCUCCUUACAGAAGCUGAUGAGUGUAAUGAAUCUGUGAGCAAACUGAAGUGUAAACUGUUGUUGGAGAACAUCAGACAUUAAUCAGCAGGACGGAUUCACCUUGAGUGACAUCUUACGAAAGUAAGAAUUCCCAAAGACCAUCUUCAGAUCGUGGUUUUGCUUUGCCACCCUAAGAUCUGGUCUUCCUGACAAAAAACAUGUGGCUGAUAUCUCUUACUGUAACUGUUAGUGAUGCAAAACUCUCAAAACUCUUUUCUGAUGUGUCAGCACUAGUUGGGUUUGUGUUGCUUAUGCGCAGGCUCCAACGAGCAGCUUGGUGGCAUUCAGGGAAUUCAGGCAUUGGGGCUAAACUAACUGCUUAGUUAACGUCUGAGAACAAUCGAGUCAUCUCAGCCGUGAUCGAUUAAAACCCAAAGACCGAUGUCGACCACGUGGUGGCGCUAGAGGAUC